UGGCAGCUCCUUCCACAAGCCCCCCUUCUUGCACUUCUCUCCUUCCAGACCCAGUCAGCAGGUAGCCGGCUGUUCUCUUGGUUCUCCUUAACUCACUUUCCCAAGCAGAGGAUGACUCGGAUCUCGUCGGGUGGACUGGAGCAGGGGGCACGGGAGGCCCCCUGGGUGCUAGGGCUGAAACGUGGUCAAUGCUUGCAGGGCUGGGGGGAGGCACUCCCAGGAAAUGGUCACCUCUCUGGCUGCCUUGGAGACCUGCAGAUCCCCGCCACCCCUGGUUCUUUGUGUUGUACUGGGGAGAAUAGGUCACGUCCCGGUGCGUGCUCCCAGGAGUCCCCAAAACUGUCUUGGCAGACCGUGUCAGGCACACACACACGUGUGCACAGCCCACCUGGCCUACCUGAUCCAGCUCUGGGCAAAGAGAAAACCAGAAGUAGAACCUAGGGAAGAGUCGGGAAGUCGAAACCCUGCAUCUUAUUUUGGGCUCAGCCACAUGCUGGUGGUGUGAUUGGAGCUCCCCAACUUCCCCUCUGGCACUGUGGCUUCCCCAUCAGGAACUCGGUGGCCCUAAAGCAUAACCCCCCUGCCUCCCUGUCCUGCGUGGGGAAGGACUGGCCAGGAGGGGCCCACGGCCCAGCUCAGCACUAACGACGAUGAGAGCAGUAAUCGCACCUUCUGAAACUCGCGUCACAUCAUGUGCUUUAAACUUACACCCCCCCCCCCCCGCCGUGAAAUAAUAACACGAGAAGAAUAUACCAAUAAUGAGAACUAGGGCUUCUCGUCUGAAGGGACUCAGCAGGAGCACUGGCCUGGGCUCGGAACACACGUGUCCCGGUUCGGGCUCUGCCUCUGACUUGCCAAAUGACCUUGGCCACGUUGCUUCCUCCUCUAGGCCUGCAGUUGUUUCCUCUGCUAAAUGGGAGGACUGGGCCACGUGGUCCUCAAGGCUUCUGCAGUCCUGGGAGUCUGGGCUCGGGUGAGCACGGCCUCUGAUUCCCGGGGCUGCUCUAACACAUCGCUGUAGCUCCAGCCGCUUGAAACCGCAGAAACGUGUUCUCGGUUCUGGAGACCCAAAGUCAGAAUCAAGGUGGACAGAGCUGUGCUCCCACCGGAGGCUCUGGGGGAGAAGCUCCCCACUCCCGCCUCCCCCAGCUUCCGGCUGCUGUGGGAUCCCCAGGGCAGCCUUUGGCUCCUGGCUGUAUCACCCCAGUCUUGUUCUUGUGCUCACGUUGCCUUCCGCAUGUGGCCUCAGCUGUUUCUCUGCUCUCUUUUACAAGGACACCUGUGAUGGUGUGUAGGGUCCAUUCGGAUAAUCCAGGAUGACCUCCUCAUCUCAAGUCCCUAGACUGAAUCAUAUCUGCAAAGACCCUUUUCCCAAAUAAGGCCUCAGCUUCCCUAAAGCACCCUGACGUGGCAGCCGGUUCUACUUCCAGAAGUCACCCCUGACUCCGGCCACUUGGGCAACACCCUUGCCAGCGGUAGCGCCCCACGUCAUCCUGGGGACAGCUGGGCCAGCGUCACCACAAACAAGCUUCUCCGCGGGAAGUCAGCGAGAGCCACGCGGCCGCGGUAGCGCAGGCCUCGGUGCAUGUUCUAACGUCUGGCUGCUUUUCCCUGUGCACAAAGUAGGACAUCAGACGCACUGCCCAAAGGUCUGCCUGUUGGAAGGACUUUCUCUUGCCGCUGUUCUUCAGGGCCACUCCGUUCACGUUCACCGUGAACCUACAUAUGGAACCAACUCAUCUGUAACUGAAGCUUGGGUUUUGGCUCCUGCCAUGUGGUUUAUCAGGUAUGCUCCUGUGUGGCCCUUCAUGAAUGGAGGGAGGGGGACGCUCGUGCAACAGGACAGCCAAAGUGAGGGGCCGGCCCGCGUGCUCGUGCAGCUUGCUGGAGCCCCACGUCCCCAUGGCCUCGGUCCCAGCCAUACCACUUCCCAUUUACGAUGAGCUGCUGCUGGCCUCCCUGACUGCAUGACUCCGUGGCCAUAAUAGCCCUUGGUUCAUGAUGGGCAGUUCCAGAUACACACUCAUCUGGGAUCCGGCGUCCAGGUGUUAUAUCUCGGCCAGGCCCGUAUCACACCAGGAGUCGUUUAUCAAUGACACAUCCAUCUCCCGUGCAGAUGGCAGGGCUGUGCAGAAGAACCCCAGGGGGUUAGGUUGUGAUUCUCCCACUGGGACUGACCAUGAGCUCCAUACAGCAUCGUUCCCAAACACCCCGACCUCUGACCUGAAAAGGCUGCUUACAGGUCAGCCUGGCCCUGCAGGGCCCUGCCCUGCUCCCGGCUCCAAGGUAGGAGCUGUGAACUCCUCAUUUGAGAUGGAGCCAGGAAACCCUGAGGGGGGCGCUGUCCUGCACUGACUGCAUCGCAGCCCGAGGAAGGAAGAUAAAGGAUUAUCUGGACGAGGGGAGGCGUUUUUCCACAUAGGAGUUUCUCUCCUACUUUUAAGUAAAAAAGAAAGAAGAUCCCUCCCCGCCCCAGCAACAAUGCAGCAACCACCCCGUGUGGCAAUGAGAACCUGCCACAACCUCCAACACUUGUUCUUCUCCAAUGAACUUUUGUUUAAAACAAGCCUCUCCAAUUUCCUCCUGAAACCUAAUAAAAGCUGACCUUCCCCCA
Molecule: long non-coding RNA, 2614 nt
Organism: Canis lupus familiaris (dog)
Lineage: Eukaryota; Metazoa; Chordata; Mammalia; Carnivora; Canidae
Exons: 4
Source: RefSeq, a predicted model, not a curated record